Daphnia pulicaria is the source of this 3526-nucleotide long non-coding RNA. RefSeq lists it as uncharacterized. NCBI's taxonomy places the organism in Eukaryota, Metazoa, Arthropoda, Branchiopoda, Diplostraca, Daphniidae. The transcript has 4 exons. The record is from RefSeq and is a predicted model, not a curated record.
GGCGGAGAGAAUGCAGGAAGUGACAUGGGCGAUUCACAAGACGACGGCAAUGAAUAGGGUCGAACUCCUGGUCCACCGGAGUCAUCCUGAGGCUGUUGCAAUGUAGACGUCAAACUUUGAUAGCAAGGUAAGACGAAAUGUUGGUCCCGGAUCCGUGGCGCUACCGUAGCUGUUGUGAGAUUGGCGAGACUGCGAAGGAGAGUAAUAAAGACUCAUUUCAAAUGGAACUUUUUAGCUCGGUACUGACAAAAGGAGUUUUGUAGUCGUCAGGAGUUGGACGACUUGCAACGACAAUUCCAGUCCACAGUCAGAUACCGACUGUUAAAAGAACUCCCUAGACAAGUCGACGUCUUCACUGCCUAAAUCUUAGCUUGAUGCAGUUCUGGCAAGGCGAGAAGAUGGAAGGCGGAGACUUGCGUUCUUUCAGUGCGAGCCGAUUGGCUGUGUUGCUUCACUCCCUUCGCCUUCCAGUUGGCGUUUUUCCUUCCCAAAUCCUGUUGCGGCACCUUUCUUUUAUUUGCUCAGCUGUCCACGCCGCUUCGUCCGAUUCAUCAAUCUUAAUCCAAUUUGAAGUCCCAUAUUUCACUGGUACAUGAUUUGACAACACUGAUCUCUUACCAUUGCAUUUAAAUUGUGCGAGUACAAUUCACAUUGCCGCAAUAUUCAAAGUUCACCCUAAAAUUGACUUUGUAACCCAAACAGUUAUAAAGUUAAAAUUUGAUCCUUGCAAGACUAGACCAUAAAGCCCAAAGGAAAAUGGAGCGUUCUGCUUACUGCAUAGAAUAGUAUACAGUUUGACUUUUACAACAGUGCAGCUUCAACAUUAAAGGAGGGAUACAUUCCAUGGAGGCGCCAGGCUGUCUGCCAGGACCAAGGACCCCCGGAGUUUAGGGUCUACUACCCCCCUUUCUUUUAGGCUAUCCGUUUUCCCGUCACAGUGAAAUUUCUUUUCCAAGCAGAACAACUCGCCAGGAAGAAUUCAGUUUUAUAACUGAUGGUUUGUUAUUGAGUUGCAGUUGUGACUUUUUCCAUCUAACAGCAACCGAAAUAGUCUACUUCAUUAAGGUGUUCUUCAAUAGUUAGUUGUAUUCAGUUUAGCAGUAAGCUUAUUUAUGUAUAAUUAUUUUUUACAGUCAGCCUCUUGAGCAAUCGAUUCAAGACUUCAAAGUGGCGCAAAUUUGUAUUCUGAAUUAAAUUUUCUCUUUUGACCGUAGAUACACUUUUUGCACUGGGCAGAUCGCAAUAGGUGGGAAGAGAAAAAGGGCAAAAGUCGUUUCAUCGUGUCCAACGCCUUCUCCGGUUCGGGUAUCAAUUUACGUUGACAGCCCCCCAUCCUUUUUUUUUUUGUUUUACUAUUUCCCACCUCCAAAGACCCCCCUCUCUACACAUCGACCUCUCUGUCUCACCCUCGGCGCCAAGCAGUCUGGCAGGUUCACAGUAAAAAUCCCCAUUUCCUUCUCUUUAUUUUAUGUGUAUUUUACUACGUUACUGGGGAUGGUCCAGUUGUGAAGCUCUAAUGAAUGGGCGAAGCCUGCUCACACUUGAGCCGUAACUAAAUAGCUUUGCCUUUUCGAUACAGAGAGUAGCAGUGAAGAUGGCAGGUUUCACAUUUCGCACCCCAUUAACCGACAGGAAGUUCAUUCCUUUUUUUUUCCAAGUCUCAGGAAAUCGCUGGAUGCUGGAGUUAUGGAAAUUCAACGUAAAAUCGUGUUAACAGUGAACACACUUUUUUUCAUACGGUCUUAUUCGGGAAACCUGUUUUCGCAAGUGAUGGACGGGCCGUUUCUACUUCCGCCGCUCCAGGAGGCCCUUCUACUCCCACAUCAGUAACGUGAGUCCGUAAAGAGUCUUUGGAUCGAUACACACUAGCUGCAACUUCUCAAUAGUAUUUAUAAAUUGGAAAAUUUCCAGCAGUUACAGUAACAUUAUUCAUCAAGAGAGAGAGAGGUAACGUUGACUAAGAUCGAAAUUCUCAAAAUAGCUUGCACUUUCAGUAAGUCAGUCAGUAGCGAACAGAAAGAAGUAAUAUGAAGUACUUCUUUUAUCUAAUCUAAUCCUUUCAGAAUUGUCCUCGUUAAAUUUUCAGAUUUGUUGUUACCCAAUCAUGCUUCAUUUUCUUUAACAUUUUUUUUUUCAGAAUAUUGGAGGUCUUUAGAAAUUCAAAUGUAGGUGUGUACCGUCCAUUACGAGACCGUCAUUUUUACUCUCCAGAAAUUAUGAAUGAUUAGUUGUUACAAAUCUUGCGCCCAUCUAGAACUUGACUAGCCCUGCCCAAUAUUCUUGGAUCUUGUGUUUGUGAGUAUAAAGAUAUAUCCAUUCGAAGAAUUAGAUUAUGUGGUCAACGCCCGCACAUCGUUAAGUAUUAAACUGCGCUCCAGGUCAGAUGCUAUGAAUCAUAGUUAGCAUAAAACAUCCGAAUGUGAAAAGCUUAGUAGCCUACGGUCGUGUUGGUUAUCAGUUAAUUCGGGUAGCCAUUCAUUACGGAUGAACGUUUUAAAGCCCCCCUUUUUUAAAUUUCAAUUUACAGUGGAAUAAAAUCUUUUUGCCGUAAUUUUAAAAGAAAAAUAAUAGAAAAAUGUAUCGUUUGAGACUUGAUUUAUUGAUCUACGUUUGAGCUCUUGUUUUUUUAACUUAUCCGUAGCGGCGUGAGGUUUGGGGGCACUAGAGUAUGGCUAGGUUGUGUUGAUACAGUCAACGAUGACGAUCCCCAUUAAGAAAGAUGGUCAAUAAUGUAGUUGAUGUCUGCAGUCAGAAAUCACCGAAAGGCAAAACAACAACAAGGGCAUCAGUAGAGAAGAGAAACAUAGGGAGCAGGAUAUGCGGCGUCCAGAACGAUGGCAAUUUUGAUGAGUUUUGCAGGACCACGGACUUCUUUUUGCCUCCUUGUUUCUCAUAGUAGUAAGGGCUUGGAAUGACGAAGCACCACCUGGCAGAGCCAUCAAGAAUAUUUGAAAGGAGCGCCCACAUUGGGGUUUGAGAACGGCUAAGCAAAACAUUAGACUCAAUCCAGAAGCUCAGUAAGCCAAACAGUGAUUUUUCACUCCCGCUCCUUUUCCUUCCCCCCACAUUAGACCAUCACCAUAGUUGGCCCAUCGACACUCAACACAAUAAAACAACAAACAAAAUACCGUACUAAGGACUUCUGUAGUCUAGGCUAAUCACGAAACGCGAUCGUGUAAUAUUGCAGUUUUCGCUAACUAAUAAAGAGAGUAACCUUUUUGUGAGUUUUAUCACGAUAAGAACCUUCUCAUCUUACCACUUUCACAUUAUACUGUGAGAAAGUUUGUCUCUCGGACAAAUUAGUCGAAUUUCAACACGCAUACCGAGUAAUGCUCACACGAGAAAAUACCCACCCCUCUGAUCAUUAACGUUCUUUUCCCAGAUAGUUUUAUUCCUCACUUCACUUUUCUCCUUCAACUUGUUGUCGACUACGUAUUCUCACAUGUCAGAAAAUAUGUUUCUUAACGAGCGUGGGGAUUUUUUGUUGACAAUUUCUUACCAGAAUAAAAUAAGUCAAUUUACUUUA